GACGAACGCUGGCGGCGUGCUUAACACAUGCAAGUCGAACGGUGAAGCUCCAGCUUGCUGGAGUGGAUCAGUGGCGAACGGGUGAGUAACACGUGAGCAACCUGCCCCAGACUCUGGAAUAAGCGCUGGAAACGGCGUCUAAUACUGGAUACGAGAUCAAGCCGCAUGGUUAUGGUCUGGAAAGUUUUUCGGUUUGGGAUGGGCUCGCGGCCUAUCAGCUUGUUGGUGAGGUAAUGGCUCACCAAGGCGACGACGGGUAGCCGGCCUGAGAGGGCGACCGGCCACACUGGGACUGAGACACGGCCCAGACUCCUACGGGAGGCAGCAGUGGGGAAUAUUGCACAAUGGGCGAAAGCCUGAUGCAGCGACGCCGCGUGAGGGAUGACGGCCUUCGGGUUGUAAACCUCUUUCAGCAGGGAAGAAGCGAAAGUGACGGUACCUGCAGAAGAAGCACCGGCUAACUACGUGC
This 469-nucleotide ribosomal RNA is filed under the name uncultured bacterium. RNAcentral describes it as "partial 16S ribosomal RNA". It matches the Rfam family "Bacterial small subunit ribosomal RNA", at positions 28 to 508 of the family's 1533-position model. The record is from RNAcentral.